GAUGAACGCUGGCGGCGUGCCUAAUACAUCCAAGUCGAGCGAACAGAUGAGGAGCUUGCUCCUCUGACGUUAGCGGCGGACGGGUGAGUAACACGUGGAUAACCUACCUAUAAGACUGGGAUAACUUCGGGAAACCGGAGCUAAUACCGGAUAAUAUAUUGAACCGCAUGGUUCAAUAGUGAAAGACGGUUUUGCUGUCACUUAUAGAUGGAUCCGCGCCGCAUUAGCUAGUUGGUAAGGUAACGGCUUACCAGGGCAACGAUGCGUAGCCGACCUGAGAGGGUGAUCGGCCACACUGGAACUGAGACACGGUCCAGACUCCUACGGGAGGCAGCAGUAGGGAAUCUUCCGCAAUGGGCGAAAGCCUGACGGAGCAACGCCGCGUGAGUGAUGAAGGUCUUCGAAUCGUAAAACUCUGUUAUUAGGGAAGAACAAAUGUGUAAGUAACUAUGCACGUCUUGACGGUACCUAAUCAGAAAGCCACGGCUAACUACGUG
Molecule: ribosomal RNA, 497 nt
Filed under: uncultured bacterium
Lineage: Bacteria
Description: partial 16S ribosomal RNA
Rfam family: Bacterial small subunit ribosomal RNA
Source: RNAcentral